This is a long non-coding RNA of Zingiber officinale, 416 nucleotides long. RefSeq lists it as uncharacterized. The record is from RefSeq and is a predicted model, not a curated record. NCBI's taxonomy places the organism in Eukaryota, Viridiplantae, Streptophyta, Magnoliopsida, Zingiberales, Zingiberaceae. The transcript has 3 exons.
AGCCCGAUCACCACAGCUGACGCCGGCAGACGAGAGUAACGCCGAGCCCUUGCCUCGCCGAUCUCCUCACGUGAGCCACCACCACCGCUCCUCCCCGCUGCACACUACGAGGCCGACUCGUCUGUGCCCUUCUUCCUCUCUGCCGCGUUUCGGCACAGCGCCGACGCUGACCAUCUCGCCAAUGUUCCCGUGUCCUAGCAGCGAUCCUCAAGGGAAGAAUUCAGCAGAGAGGAGGUUCUGUUCCAUUCUGUUGAGAUCUGUGGAUUUGCUUGGUUCCAGCAUCAACAGUAGGUUGUUUGCUGUGGAAAGUUGCUGUUGUCGAUCACCACUUCCUCCUUCUUGAAUCCGGUUGAUUUGAGGACUUUGAUGCGAGACGAGUAUCUCGGAGUCAGAUUGGACCUUUCUAUUUUCGGAGG